AAGCGGUGGAGCAUGUGGUUUAAUUUGAAGCAACGACGAAGAACCUUACCAGGUCUUGACAUCCCCUGACAACCCAAGAGAUUGGGCGUUCCCCUUCGGGGGACAGGGUGACAGGUGGUGCAUGGUUGUCGUCAGCUCGUGUCGUGAGAUGUUGGGUUAAGUCCCGCAACGAGCGCAACCCUCGCCUCUAGUUGCCAGCAUUCAGUUGGGCACUCUAAGGUGACUGCCGGCUAAAAGUCGGAGGAAGGUGGGGAUGACGUCAAAUCAUCAUGCCCCUUAUGACCUGGGCUACACACGUGCUACAAUGGGCGGUACAAAGGGUCGCGAACCCGCGAGGGGGAGCCAAUCCCAAAAAGCCGCUCUCAGUUCGGAUUGCAGGCUGCAACUCGCCUGCAUGAAGCCGGAAUCGCUAGUAAUCGCGGAUCAGCAUGCCGCGGUGAAUACGUUCCCGGGCCUU
This 457-nucleotide ribosomal RNA is filed under the name uncultured Anoxybacillus sp. Its description in RNAcentral is "bacterial SSU rRNA". It matches the Rfam family "Bacterial small subunit ribosomal RNA", at positions 927 to 1382 of the family's 1533-position model. Lineage: Bacteria; Bacillati; Bacillota; Bacilli; Caryophanales; Anoxybacillaceae. The record is from RNAcentral.